RNAcentral lists this ribosomal RNA (495 nucleotides) under uncultured bacterium. Its description in RNAcentral is "partial 16S ribosomal RNA". It matches the Rfam family "Bacterial small subunit ribosomal RNA", at positions 28 to 507 of the family's 1533-position model. The record is from RNAcentral.
GACGAACGCUGGCGGCGUGCCUAAUACAUGCAAGUAGAACGCUGAAGGAGGAGCUUGCUUCUCUGGAUGAGUUGCGAACGGGUGAGUAACGCGUAGGUAACCUGCCUGGUAGCGGGGGAUAACUAUUGGAAACGAUAGCUAUUACCGCAUAAGAGUAGAUGUUGCAUGACAUUUGCUUAAAAGGUGCAAUUGCAUCACUACCAGAUGGACCUGCGUUGUAUUAGCUAGUUGGUGGGGUAACGGCUCACCAAGGCGACGAUACAUAGCCGACCUGAGAGGGUGAUCGGCCACACUGGGACUGAGACACGGCCCAGACUCCUACGGGAGGCAGCAGUAGGGAAUCUUCGGCAAUGGACGGAAGUCUGACCGAGCAACGCCGCGUGAGUGAAGAAGGUUUUCGGAUCGUAAAGCUCUGUUGUAAGAGAAGAACGAGUGUGAGAGUGGAAAGUUCACACUGUGACGGUAUCUUACCAGAAAGGGACGGCUAACUACGUG